GCGUCGAACGCUGGAAUUGAAUUUAAAAAGAGAAAAAGUAUAAGGCUAAGGGGUUUAAGGAUGAUUGCAACAGAGACGCCAGUCAAGAGAGCCUGUAAUAUCGAUUGGUUUUUAUAAAAGAAGAAAAAAAAGGACUCAAAGUCUAGACGAAUCUACUAGACUCGUAGUUACCUACAAUCUAUCAAGAAGAAGUGCUGGUGGGAAAAGAGGAAUUGAACAGCCGCCGAGAAAAGGUUUCCUUCUUUUUUUGUAAACAGCACGGACGCGUAUAAAAUGGGCGAGGAAUUAUAGUGAGGAGCAGACGGGAGCAUUGUGUGUGCGAGAGGUUGUUUGGAUCGAGCUACUACCAGCACUCGUCACUCUGACCGCCCCCUCUUUUCUUUUUUCUACUUUUUUAGUUUGUUUUUCGCUCGUUCCUGUUGAUUCUGCACACAGCUGCGCAAAGUGGCUGCUGCGCCACGACAUGGUCGGAGUUGAUCCCGAUGAGGAGAGAGCCGAGAGAGAGCAGGAAAGUUUAUAGAGCAUGACCCGAGACGACGGGCUAGCCAGUUGUCCCGCCACUCUGGCCAUGGACUGCUGGACCCGUACAAAUCCCAUACAAAGCAAAUAAAUCAAAUCCCUAUUGCUAUUCUUCUUCUUCCGGUGGUGCACCGUGUGUGAUCCUGUCAGUUGGGCAGGACGACGACGCAAAGUCGAAAAUCGAAUCCAUCAUUUGAUCCGUGAUUUUUUGUUUUCAAGUUUGUUUGCAUGCAAGACUAGCAACAGCGACUGGCACAGCACAAUUGUCAACACAAACCAAAUGGGCUCCUGGCUGGAACGAAUCUACGGCUGCUGCUCCAGCGCGGAUUGGUGCUGGUGGCCCAAUUCAAGCUCAUAUAUCGUGCCGAUUAUGAAAGGAGGGGUUCAUGUUUAUGUAUGUACACAGCAGCAGUAGUAGUAGCAGCAGCAGCGCACUUGUCCUGGCGGCGAUAUCAAUUUCACUACUGACAUGCUAUAUCAUCUAUAUAUGGCGGGCCCCGGAUUUUUAUUGCGAUCGGCUCCAGCGCCCCCAAUCGUUGGGUUUGCCUCCUCCUUAUUUCUCUCUCGUUGCGGUUUGACAGUUGUUUGCGCCAGGGUCGCGGGGCCAUGAUUUGCAGCUCCAAAAGCAAAGACGGGGGGCAAUGUUUCAUCCAUUUCCGUCGUAAUGGCACCCCCAGCAGCUCUCUAUAGGCAAGUCGUGUUGUGAAAUGAUGAUGGCGCUAUUACCAGAUGCCACACCUGUUGCCAUUUUCAAGAUGAAUCGAGUCCUUCAUUUAACGCGCAUGAGGAAGUAUAAUCCAGCGGCGGCAUCUGGCAGGGACGACGACGACGACGACGCCCUGAUUGAGGCGACGGCCGGCAGCUUUGAAUCCAACAGCGGCAGCAGGAUCGCCAUGCUCUCCCGCGGUAAAAUUAAGUAUGUCAAGGCUGGAGUUGUGAACCACACGGGAUCCUCCCACAUCGGGAUUCCCAUCAUCGAUCCGCUGAUUGGCCAGGAUUACAACAACAGUAGUAGCGGCGGGACACAUCGUCAAAAUCAUCAUCAGCGGCAGCAGCUGUUCACGCAACUUCAUCAGCACGCCCGGCUCCUGGUCAACAAGAACAUCUUUCAUUGGCAUCAACAGACGCACCAUCAGCAUCAGUGGUGGUGGGACUCGAGCACUCCGCCCUCCUCUGUCGAUCUCGAAUGGGAACACGAAGGUUUAAUGCCGCCGGUGAUGGAAUCGGCCAGCGAGGAUGGAGAAGCCGAUGCGGAGGACCAAGAUGAGGUGGAUUUGUACGAUACAGCCGAUGAAGGGGAAGCGGCCGAUGAAGGAACGAGAGCGACGGAUGUGCUGGCAAGGACGACAAAGAAGACUGCCGGCCCAAAUGAUCCGGUCGCUCCCCAUCGAUCCCCGUCACCUUCUUCCGCUUGCCACUCUCUGGAAUGGGAUUCCAACGGCGACGAUUUCUUCGGACACGAUUGCCGGACACACAACAUCAAGGCCUUUUCAUCCUAAAUGAUCCUGAAAUUUUCCCCUCUCUGUGUGUCCCCUCAAGAGAGCCGGGACGAAAAUCGGGAGGGACAGUGAAGAAGAGCACAUAUAGGGCAGGGGAGAAACCAGCCUGGAGGCAAAUCCAAAUGUCAUUUUGGAGGACCAAACACAAAAAAUAAAAAGAAGAAAAGUAAAGGAAGCGAAAAUAAUAGAUGUCGACCUACACUACCACGCGCUCCUUGUUCAAGGCGAGAUCAAUAAGGCGCCAGCAGGCAUUAAAAGAGCGCUCUCUACUCGCUCCUUUUUUUCUUAGGGGACAAUCGAUCCACGUUCCCGGCGUGUGAGAGAUCCGUCGGUACGUACGUGUGGGGGGGCUUUCUCUUGGCUUUGCACGCGGACAUAGAUGGCGACACUCGGCCUCGACGGCUCCUAAGCCCCCACCGACUGUACACACAACCCCCGCUCGCUCCCGACAUCACCCGAAUAGACGAGUGAACGGCGAUCAAGCGAUUCCAAGGCCUUAUGUAUUAUUUUUGGGGGUUGUUGCUGUUGCUGUUGUCUUCGUCUCUCAUCUCUCGUGUUAUUAUCAUUUCACUUGUGUGUCUUUUUACUGUACACGUCUGUCUAGUUGUCUUCCAUCUCUUCACCCAGAGCUAUUUAUUAAGGGAUGUACAGACUUGUGUGAGCAACGGUGGGAAGAAAUGUGACUGGCGUCGGCUGGUGUGAGCGGAAGCAGCAAAUCGUCUUUCAAAUGGUCAUAUCAUCAUUUCGCGGCAGCGUUCAAAGGCUCCCGCGCUCUGAUAACCCUAUGCAGACGAAUUUUGAAGGCGCUUGUUUAGGAUGGCACGAGAGAUAUGCCGUAUUGUAUUGCAGUGUGUGUCUGUGUGUGUGUGUGUGUGUGUGUCUCUGAGUAUAAUAUGUGUGGAUUGUGAAUGUGUGUCGGGAUCAUGUUGUUAUAACCCCCUCCCCCACCCCACGUAAUCGAUUUUUCAUCAAUCUGGAGCGGAUGGUAAAAUGUCAACGUGUACAAACGUGCGAGAGGGGCGUCUCUUAUCAUCUCGUUACUGUCACCUCGUCUUGAAUAACGCAAAUAUAUCUGAAUUUGAGCCA
Molecule: unclassified non-coding RNA, 3104 nt
Filed under: Daphnia pulicaria
Lineage: Eukaryota; Metazoa; Arthropoda; Branchiopoda; Diplostraca; Daphniidae
Description: uncharacterized LOC124311362, transcript variant X1
Source: RNAcentral